Molecule: long non-coding RNA, 209 nt
Filed under: Lathyrus oleraceus (garden pea)
Lineage: Eukaryota; Viridiplantae; Streptophyta; Magnoliopsida; Fabales; Fabaceae
Description: Pisum sativum (pea) long non-coding RNA (PSAT_LNC025403)
Source: RNAcentral
AGAAAGAGAGUAGAGUAAUUCUGUGCGUUCAGGUGUGUCUCUCAAUGAGGUUCGCCGUUCUUUAUAUAGAGGAGAAAAACGACCGUUUGUAGUGAUGGCAGAUAUAUAGUCUUGAUGAGAGUUUAAUGCCAUAACUUCGUUGUUUCUUGCCAUAACAAGUUUGUCUCCCUGAAUAACUUCUUUCCAAAUAUAGUUUCUUUCCAUUUGAC